CAGGGGCGGCAGGGGCGGCAGCAGCGAGGAGGAGAACAGCAGCAACGAGAGCCGACAGGAGCAGAGCCGACAGGAGCAGAGCCGACAGGAGCAGAGCCGACAGGAGCAGAGCCGACAGGAGCAGAGCAGUGAGGAGACGGGAGGAGGAGCCAGCGUCACUCUGUCCAACUGUGUGGAAUAUGUCGCCGUUGGCAACGUAACAGUGGACGCAGACUGUAUCAGUCUCAUAUUCACCAGUGUUUGGAGAAAUGCUUCUCCAGGAUGUCAGACGGUGGAUCAUGUGACCUUCUUCCAGGACUGUCCCAAACCCACAAACAAAGCCCCAGUCCUGGUCUAGGCCCUAGUCCUGGUCUGGAUCCUGGUCCUGGUCUGGAUCCUGGUCCUGGUCUGGAUCCUGGUCCUGGUCUGGAUCCUGGUU
Molecule: long non-coding RNA, 418 nt
Organism: Boleophthalmus pectinirostris (great blue-spotted mudskipper)
Lineage: Eukaryota; Metazoa; Chordata; Actinopteri; Gobiiformes; Gobiidae
Exons: 3
Source: RefSeq, a predicted model, not a curated record